Long non-coding RNA from Pseudophryne corroboree (corroboree frog), 715 nucleotides. RefSeq lists it as uncharacterized. Lineage: Eukaryota; Metazoa; Chordata; Amphibia; Anura; Myobatrachidae. The transcript is spliced from 4 exons. The record is from RefSeq and is a predicted model, not a curated record.
AGGAUACAGAGCAGCAAUGUGGAGCAGAGGCAGCUGGCGGUGUGUGAUAGGAUUGCUGCACUUAUUACGGAGGGCCAGCUUCUAUUCCCUGUGGCCGGAGACCAUCAUUGUAGCAGCAGAUCGGUAGGACCAGCCUCCUAUGGAUACCCCACUGCUUCCGAUGGCACUGGCUGACAGGCAUCUAAAGAGGCAGAGCAGUGAUGGACUCUACUGACUGUGUGAUUGGGAACUAUACACAUCUGUAUAUAACCCUAUUUAUAGAGCAGUGGAGAUUGCAAGGUGCAGUGCUCAAUCCUACAUAAUUUUUUGAUUGACUCAUAAAUAUACAGAAAGAAUGCAAGAUCAAAGCACCACCUGCAGAAUCAAAGUACACAGCAUUAAUCACGCCAAAGUUGCAACAAUAAUAAUAUAUUUAUUGGAUCUAUAAGGACGGUACUGGAAUGCCAUGAUUAGAAGCUUCCAAGCAUCCUGGUGUUUGGAGCUGCACCUUUGGAAUGAGCCUCUGGAGUCAUGUCUAGCAACAUCUGGGAGAAUACACACCUGAAAAAGUCUAUCUGGCGAAACGCAUUGGGUAUUCUAUUAUGCUUUGAUGUAACCUCCAACCUAUAUCAUUGGAAGGAGGAUCUCUUGAAAGAAGCAAUCUGUUCAUCUAUGAGAAAUCAAACCUCCAUGUUAUGUGAGGAGGCUGUCAUCUGUUAAUGCAUCUAAGGAUAUA